Molecule: ribosomal RNA, 253 nt
Filed under: uncultured bacterium
Lineage: Bacteria
Description: partial 16S ribosomal RNA
Rfam family: Bacterial small subunit ribosomal RNA
Source: RNAcentral
UACGAAGGGGGCUAGCGUUGUUCGGAUUCAUUGGGCGUAAAGGGUGCGUAGGCGGUCGGGUAAGUCGGAUGUGAAAUCCUGGGGCUCAACCUCAGAACUGCAUUCGAUACUGCUCGGCUAGAGUACUGGAGAGGUGAGUGGAAUUCACGGUGUAGCAGUGAAAUGCGUAGAUAUCGUGAGGAAGACCAGCGGCGAAGGCGGCUCACUGGACAGUUACUGACGCUGAGGCACGAAGGCCAGGGGAGCAAACGGG